GAACGGGUGAGUNACNCGUGGGUAACCUNCCUCUUAGCNGGGGAUAACAUUUGGAAACAAGUGCUNAUACCGUAUAAUACCAACAACCGCNNNGUNNUGUNGAAAGAUGGUUCUGCUAUCACUAAGAGAUGGACCCGCGGUGCAUUAGCUAGUUGGUAAGGUAACGGCUNACCAAGGCAAUGAUGCAUAGCCGAGUUGAGAGACUNAUCGGCCACNAUGGGACUNAGACACGGCCCNUNCUCCUACGGGAGGCUGCUGUNGGGAAUCUUCCACNAUGGGCGCAAGCCUNAUGGAGCAACGCCGCGUGUGUGAUGAAGGGUUUCGGCUCGUAAAACNCUGUUAUAAGAGAAGAACGGCACUGAGAGUAACUGUUCAGUGUGUGACGGUAUCUUACCAGAAAGGAACGGCUNAAUACGUGCCAGCAGCCGCGGUNAUACGUAUGUUCCNAGCGUUAUCCGGAUUUAUUGGGCGUNAAGCGAGCGCAGACGGUUNUUUAAGUCUNAAGUGAAAGCCCUCAGCUCAACUGAGGAAUGGCUUUGGAAACUGGAUGACUNGAGUGCAGUAGAGGAAAGUGGAACUCCAUGUGUAGCGGUGAAAUGCGUAGAUAUAUGGAAGAACACCAGUGGCGAAGGCGGCUNUCUNGACUGUAACUGACGUUGAGGCUCGAAAGUGUGGGUAGCAAACAGGAUUAGAUACCCUNGUAGUCCACACCGUAAACGAUGAGUGCUAGAUGUUCGAGGGUUUCCGCCCUNGAGUGUCGCACUAACGCAUUAAGCACUCCGCCUGGGGAGUACGACCGCAAGGUUGAAACUCAAAGGAAUUGACGGGGACCGCACAAGCGGUNGAGCAUGUNGUUUAAUUCGAAGCAACGCGAAGAACCUUACCAGGUCUUGACAUCCCUNGCUNAUCCUAGAAAUAGGACGGUUCUUCGGGGACAAGGUGACNGGUGGUGCNUGGUUGUCGUCNGCUCGUGUCGUGAGAUGUUGGGUUAAGUCCCGCAACGAGCGCNACCCUUNUUNUUAGUUGCCAGCAUUCAGUUGGGCACUCUAGUGAGACUGCCGGUGACAAACCGGAGGAAGGUGGGGAUGACGUCAAAUCAUCAUGCCCCUUAUGACCUNGGCUACACACGUGCUACAAUGGCAUAUACNACGAGUCGCCAACCCGCGAGGGUGCGCUAAUCUCUUAAAGUAUGUCUCAGUUCGGAUUGUAGGCUGCAACUCGCCUGCAUCAAGUCGGAAUCGCUAGUAAUCGCGGAUCAGCACGCCGCGGUGAAUACGUUCCCGGGUCUUGUACACACCGCCCGUCACACCAUGAGAGUUUGUAACACCCAA
Molecule: ribosomal RNA, 1331 nt
Filed under: Weissella paramesenteroides
Lineage: Bacteria; Bacillati; Bacillota; Bacilli; Lactobacillales; Lactobacillaceae
Description: partial 16S ribosomal RNA
Rfam family: Bacterial small subunit ribosomal RNA
Source: RNAcentral